GACGAACGCUGGCGGCGUGCUUAACACAUGCAAGUCGAACGGAAAGGCGCUGCUUUUGUUCCGUUCUCGUGUGGCGAGCGGGGGAGUAACACCUGUGUAACCUGUCCUUGUCUUUGGGAUAACUUCAGGGAACUCGGGCGAUUACCUCGGAGCAUCUCCUGCUGCGUGGUGGGGGUUGGAAAAUGUCGGCUGUGCUGGUUCGUCUCGCUGCUUAUCAGCUUGUUGGUCGGGUUGGGGCUUUCCACGGCUUUGACGGGUAGCCGGCAUGAGAGGGUGACCGGCCACCUUGGGACUGCGAUACGGCCCAGACUCCUACGGGAGGCAGUAGUCGGGAAUCUUGCAGAAUGGGCGGAAGCGUGAUGAAGCAGCGCCGCGUGCGGGAUGACGGCCUUCGGGUUGUAAACAGCUUUCGCCUGUGACGAAGAGUGCGUGACGGUAAUGGGUCAAGAAGCCACGGCUAACUACGUG
RNAcentral lists this ribosomal RNA (468 nucleotides) under uncultured bacterium. RNAcentral describes it as "partial 16S ribosomal RNA". It matches the Rfam family "Bacterial small subunit ribosomal RNA", at positions 28 to 507 of the family's 1533-position model. The record is from RNAcentral.